UACGGAAGGCAGCAGUGGGGAAUAUUGCACAAUGGGCGAAAGCCUGAUGCAGCUAUGCCGCGUGUAUGAAGAAGGCCUUAGGGUUGUAAAGUACUUUCAUCGGGGAGGAAAAAACAAAACUAAUAAUUUUAUUUCUUGACGUUACCCGAAAAAGAAGCACCGGCUAACUCCGUGCCAGCAGCCGCGGUAAUACGGAGGGUGCUAGCGUUAAUCAGAAUUACUGGGCGUAAAGAGCACGUAGGUGGUUUUUUUAAAGUCAGAUGUGAAAUCCCUGGGCUUAACCUAGGAACUGCAUUUUGAAACUGAAAUACUAGAGUAUCGUAGAGGGAGGUAGAAUUCUAGGUGUAGCGGUUGAAAUGCGUAGAUAUCUGGAGGAAUACCUGUGGCGAAAGCGGCCUCCUAAACGAAUACUGACACUGAGGUGCGAAAGCGUGGGGAGCAAACAGGGAUUAGAUACC
Molecule: ribosomal RNA, 458 nt
Filed under: uncultured bacterium
Lineage: Bacteria
Description: bacterial SSU rRNA
Rfam family: Bacterial small subunit ribosomal RNA
Source: RNAcentral